Molecule: long non-coding RNA, 373 nt
Filed under: Fukomys damarensis (Damara mole-rat)
Lineage: Eukaryota; Metazoa; Chordata; Mammalia; Rodentia; Bathyergidae
Description: lncRNA (ENSFDAG00000026235.1)
Source: RNAcentral
UCACAGUAUUCCUGUGCUAUAAAUAAGACAUUUGCUUCUUUGUAGUUAAAGACUUAGAGAUGCAAGAAGUUGCCGACUCAGAAGUAAGCAGGGGCUGAGUUGAGAUAUAAGACAGUUCUGUGUGUUUCUUUUCAUAGUGUGAUCGAUGUGCCGGUGUCUUACAUGUUGCUUCUUCCUGCACUCUAGGCCUCUCCUCUUCACCCCCUCGUGGACCACCAUUGCCAGCUAAACAAAGGCGGUGAAUCUUCGUCCUGAUCCAUUGUCCUUCUGAGACCCAUAAUGAGCUCACCAGUACAGCCCGGAAAGCUGUCCAAAAAGACAACCCUCACACCCCGGAACAGAUUGGCACAUUUUCUGUUGAACCUAAAGGAGC